This 433-nucleotide ribosomal RNA is filed under the name uncultured bacterium. Its description in RNAcentral is "partial 16S ribosomal RNA". It matches the Rfam family "Bacterial small subunit ribosomal RNA", at positions 29 to 507 of the family's 1533-position model. The record is from RNAcentral.
AACGAACGCUGGCGGCAUGCCUAACACAUGCAAGUCGAACGAGACCUUCGGGUCUAGUGGCGCACGGGUGCGUAACGCGUGGGAACCUGCCCUUAGGUUCGGAAUAACUCCCCGAAAGGGGUGCUAAUACCGGAUAAUGUCUUCGGACCAAAGAUUUAUCGCCUUUGGAUGGGCCCGCGUUGGAUUAGCUAGUUGGUAGGGUAAAAGCCUACCAAGGCGACGAUCCAUAGCUGGUCUGAGAGGAUGAUCCGCCACACUGGGACUGAGACACGGCCCAGAAUACUACGGGAGGCAGGAGUGGGGAAUAUUGGAAAAUGGGCGAAAGCAUGAUCCAGCAAUGCCGCGUGAGUGAUGAAGGCCUUAGGGUUGUAAAGCUCUUUUACCCGGGAUGAUAAUGACAGUACCGGGAGAAUAAGCUCCGGCUAACUCCGUG